This 477-nucleotide ribosomal RNA is filed under the name Pseudoxanthomonas sp. Its description in RNAcentral is "bacterial SSU rRNA". It matches the Rfam family "Bacterial small subunit ribosomal RNA", at positions 391 to 859 of the family's 1533-position model. The record is from RNAcentral. Lineage: Bacteria; Pseudomonadati; Pseudomonadota; Gammaproteobacteria; Lysobacterales; Lysobacteraceae.
GCCAUACCGCGUGGGUGAAGAAGGCCUUCGGGUUGUAAAGCCCUUUUGUUGGGAAAGAAAUCCUAUCGGUUAAUAACCGGUGGGGAUGACGGUACCCAAAGAAUAAGCACCGGCUAACUUCGUGCCAGCAGCCGCGGUAAUACGAAGGGUGCAAGCGUUACUCGGAAUUACUGGGCGUAAAGCGUGCGUAGGUGGUGGUUUAAGUCCGUUGUGAAAGCCCUGGGCUCAACCUGGGAAUUGCAGUGGAUACUGGAUCACUAGAGUGUGGUAGAGGGAUGCGGAAUUUCUGGUGUAGCAGUGAAAUGCGUAGAGAUCAGAAGGAACAUCCGUGGCGAAGGCGGCAUCCUGGGCCAACACUGACACUGAGGCACGAAAGCGUGGGGAGCAAACAGGAUUAGAUACCCUGGUAGUCCACGCCCUAAACGAUGCGAACUGGAUGUUGGGUGCAACUUGGCACCCAGUAUCGAAGCUAACGCG